This 497-nucleotide ribosomal RNA is filed under the name uncultured bacterium. RNAcentral's name for it is "partial 16S ribosomal RNA". It matches the Rfam family "Bacterial small subunit ribosomal RNA", at positions 30 to 507 of the family's 1533-position model. The record is from RNAcentral.
AUUGAACGCUGGCGGCGUGCCUAAUACAUGCAAGUCGAGCGAAAACACGCCUACGUGUGCCCACUAGUGUCAGCGGCGGGCGGGAUAGUACCGAAUGGGCCCCCUCGCUAUGAGACAGGGAUCACAACCUGUGCCCAUAGCUAAUACGGGCUACUAUAGUGAACCGCAUGGCUCAAUAGUGUAAGCCGACUUUGCGGCCGAUGGUAGAUGGAUCAACGGCGCAUUAGCUAGUUGGUAAGGUAACGGCUUACCAAGGCAACGAUGCGUAGCCGAUCUGAGAGGAUGAUCAGCCACACUGGAACUGAGACACGGCCCAGACUCCUACGGGAGGCAGCAGUAGGGAAUCUUCCACAAUGGGCGAAAGCCUGACGGAGCAACGCCGCGUGAGGGAUGAAGGUCUUCGGAUUGUAAAACUCUUUUAUUAGGGAAGAACAAAUGUGUAAGUAUCCAGGCACGUCAUGACGGUACCGAAAGAGAAAGCCACGGCUAACUACGUG